AGAGAAUGAGUUGCAAUGUCUUGAAAACGCUUCGUAAUAAGAGUGAAGUAGACGAAGUUAUAAGAUCAACCGAAGACGUCGUAUUAGUUUUACGAUUUGGACGAGAGAAUGACACAGUGUGUAUGCAAUUAGACAAUAUUAUAGAAAUGAAAUCACGAAAAGGUUUAAAAGGAAGUAUCUAUAUGGAAAUUAGAAAAGUAGCAUGCCUGUCAAAAGUUGAUUUACGGAGCAAGCCGAUAGACCUGGAAAAAGCUUCUACAGAAUUGGGCAAUAUGGCUGAGAUAUACUGUGUUAAUGUAGAUAGUGUUCAUGUAUAUACCCAGUACUUUGAUAUCACUCUCAUACCAGCUACUGUUUUCUUCUUUAAUGCAC
This is a long non-coding RNA of Patella vulgata (common limpet), 372 nucleotides long. RefSeq lists it as uncharacterized. The record is from RefSeq and is a predicted model, not a curated record. The transcript has 3 exons. NCBI's taxonomy places the organism in Eukaryota, Metazoa, Mollusca, Gastropoda, Patellidae.